Desulfosporosinus orientis DSM 765 is the source of this 173-nucleotide non-coding RNA. NCBI's taxonomy places the organism in Bacteria, Bacillati, Bacillota, Clostridia, Eubacteriales, Desulfitobacteriaceae. The record is from Rfam.
UCUGUUGCGAAGCAGAAUCUAGAGGAAGCCAGCGGCAAAUCUCUGGCCCGAGGACCACGAAUCCUAGGCGAGGCUAGUAACAGUUGGAUGAGCUUGCAAACCAAAGCAAAGUCCUUGCUAUCGAAGGCUGUUGUUAGUAAAUGGGGCGGGUAGAUGGAGAGAAAGACAACGUU